Molecule: ribosomal RNA, 485 nt
Filed under: uncultured bacterium
Lineage: Bacteria
Description: bacterial SSU rRNA
Rfam family: Bacterial small subunit ribosomal RNA
Source: RNAcentral
GAUGAACGCUAGCGGCAGGCCUAACACAUGCAAGUCGAGGGGCAGCACGGUGUAGCAAUACACUGGUGGCGACCGGCGCACGGGUGCGUAACGCGUAUGCAACCUACCCAUAACAGGGGGAUAACACUGAGAAAUUGGUACUAAUACCCCAUAACAUCAGGACCGGCAUCGGUUCUGGUUGAAAACUCCGGUGGUUAUGGAUGGGCAUGCGUUGUAUUAGCUGGUUGGUGAGGUAACGGCUCACCAAGGCAACGAUACAUAGGGGGACUGAGAGGUUAACCCCCCACAUUGGUACUGAGACACGGACCAAACUCCUACGGGAGGCAGCAGUGAGGAAUAUUGGUCAAUGGACGCAAGUCUGAACCAGCCAUGCCGCGUGCAGGAAGACGGCUCUAUGAGUUGUAAACUGCUUUUGUACGAGGGUAAACGCUCUUACGCGUAAGAGCCUGAAAGUAUCGUACGAAUAAGGAUCGGCUAACUCCGUG